Non-coding RNA from Podarcis lilfordi (Lilford's wall lizard), 7180 nucleotides. Lineage: Eukaryota; Metazoa; Chordata; Lepidosauria; Squamata; Lacertidae. The record is from the annotation of a GenBank genome assembly.
GUGGAAUGCUAUAAUUUAGAGACAAAUGAAUGGCGUUAUGUAUCUUCCCUACCACAGCCCUUGGCGGCACAUGCAGGAGCUGUACAUAAUGGCAAAAUCUAUAUUUCUGGCAAGUUGUUUUCUAAACUCCCCUUCAUCGCAAAACAAAACCCAGUUAUUCUUUUAAGGUGGUGUGCUUCCUUAAACUAAUGAAGGUAUAUUUGAUUUGUAGGAGGUGUCCACAAUGGUGAAUACGUUCCCUGGCUGUACUGCUAUGACCCUGUAAUGGAUGUCUGGGCUAGAAAACAAGAUAUGAACACAAAGAGAGCAAUCCAUGCAUUGGCUGUAAUGAAUGAUCGACUGUAUGCAAUCGGAGGAAAUCAUUUGAAAGGUCACAUUUUUAAUAGCAAAACAAUGUAAUAUUCUGUCUUUUGAUACAGACUAUUUUUGCUAGGUUAGGUAACUAAGUUUAAAACCCUGCCACACAAUUUAGCAUGAUGCUUGAGACAGCAUCUUUGAAUAUAUAUAUAUAUCACUACAUUAAAUAAAUGAGUAAUGAAUGCUUUAGAUAAUACAAAAAUGGGAACUUCCAUUACUCAGAAGCAUGGAUGAUUUGUCAUCACCGUAAAUUCACUGUAACAAACAGAUUAUUUCUGACCCAAAUUGCCAACAGUAUUUCCCUCUGUAAAUCGUUUCCCAAGCUGGAGAAGAAGCUGUGCUAAGGCUUUGCAAAGAAACAAGUCCUUAAUUUUAGGGGUAAUAUUUAACAACAUUUAAAAUCCCCCACUCAUCUCAAAAAUUGUCUACAAAAUUUAUUUCUAAAAAUCAUUAUUUGCAUUCAUCUUACUAGGGGCUACACCCCUGCUUGCUCCACUUGCCAACACCCCUGACCUCCCCCCAUUAACCCUCUACAGCUUCCCUUUCCCACUCUAUGUAACUACUAAGCUCACUAUUCAUCUUCCCAUCCCAUUUCUGAAGCCUCUGUCCUGUUCUGCAACCCUGCCUUGCACGUUUUUUCACCUUCACCCCUCUGUCUAUUCCUCCUCCUCCUCCUUUUGUGUAACCUUGCACAAACGACCACCAGGGUAAUCUCCUGCACCUUCCUCCUCCCACACCUUAUAACUGCUAAGCACCUUUUUCACCUUCACCCCCUUUUCUUCUCCCCCCCCCGUCUUCUUCUCAGCUCUCUCUUCCACACAGAUAAUCCCCAUUUUCAUGCCUUAAAGGUAAAGGUAAAGGGACCCCUGACCAUUAGGUGCAGUCGUGGAUGACUCUGGGGUUGCGGUGCUCAUCUCGCUCUAUAGGCCAAGGGAGCCAGCGUACAGCUUCCGGUCAUGUGGCCAGCAUGACUAAGCCAUUUCCCUUCCCGAUGGAGCAGUACCUAUUUAUCUACUUGCACUUUGGCGUGCUUUCGCACUGCUAGGUUGGCAGGAGCAGGGGCUGAGCAAUCAUCUCUUAAAUUCUGCAUCUCCCUUUGUACACCAUUAUCACCUUUCAUCCCCAUUCCUACCACCUUAUUUCUCCUUUUCAACUCUCCCUUGCAUACAGGCCACACACACACACACACACCCAUUUCUAUCCCUCCUGCUCUCUCCUUUUCAGCAGCCCUCUUUGUGCUAACAUGCUAUGAUGGUGUAUGUUACUGUAUCUUUAAAAUGACAGAAUCUUAAGAACAUGACUGUCAAGUGAGCUUGUUCAGUUAGAGAAGGUUAAGUUCAGUUGAUGGAUGUUGUACAUAUAUGUGUGUUUGGGGGUUUUUUUGUUAAUAAAUUAUCUCUUCUAAAUAGCUACUUUGAAUCUGGAACAAAGAGAGGUGAAAUACAUUGUGUGAAGGUUGUUAUAGGAUAUUUGAUGGCUCCGCAUCCUUUAUCUCUCACACAUGGAAGGAGAAGCUUGUGUACAAUGAGAAGAGACAAACAGUGAAAGAGAAAAUAUGCAUCUUUUAAACAAUGGAAGAAGUUUGAGUAAAGCAAGGGUAGAGAGACCCUGAGAAGAAAAUUUCAGUUUAAAACAAUAGCAGAGGUUUGAGUAAAGCAGGGAUGGAGAACACUGAGGGUUUUUUGUUUUAUUUUUAAAAAACAGCUUUAACAAGGAGAAAUGGGGAAUAGGUAUAACACAGAAGCUAACACAAUAGAGCCUUUCUCACCUCCCUUCUCGCUGUACUUAAAUCUUGUUUUAAACUGCUACUUUCCCCUCUCAAUAUCACCCUCUAAUUGCUCUUCUCAAAUUUCUGCCAUUGUUUAAAAUAGCCACUUUCCCCCUCUCAUUAUUUCUCCAUUCUUGCUUUACUCAUAUGUCUGCUAUUGUCUAAAAUACACACCUUUCUUCCCUUUCAUUGUUUCUCCCUUAUCUCUGUACUCUAAUUUCUCCUUCUUCCAUUCCUCAGCUGCCUCUGUGAGAGAGAUAAAGGACAGGGAGCACUCAAAUAUUCCAUAGUACCUUCACAUUUCGGUCCUGGUAUUUCACUCCUGGUAUCAUGGAGUAGAAAAAAACACUCUAAUCUCAUAUAUCAGUAACUCCCCAUGAAUGUUCUUUGGCAGCUAAUGGCAGCCAAUAUGUUGUUUAUUAUUAAGGAAAAAAGCAAAUGUUAGCUCAGUGCUGUAGGUUGUGAUGGAGAUAACAAAAGGAAAGUAUUUCACUUUCUUACUUUGAGAGGUUUUCUCCUGUUCUUUACAAUUUAGUCUUUAAUGAUGAACUUACUAAGGGGGGCAAAGUUUUUUAUGUCAUUGAUCAAGUACCAUAUGCUCAUUCUCUUAAAAUAAGUGGUUUCACAUUAUUUGAUAAUUGUGUUGUACAGGUUUUUCGCAUCUUGAUGUCAUGCUCGUGGAAUGCUAUGAUCCAAAAGGUGAUCAAUGGAAUAUUUUGCAAACUCCUAUUUUAGAGGGUCGCAGUGGUCCUGGCUGUGCAGUUCUUGAUGACAGCAUUUACCUUGUAGGAGGCUACAGCUGGAGUAUGGUAUGUAUCCCUUGUCUGUACAUGGAUCUCUCGGUUAUCAUUUGAGAGCAUGCUGCAACCAUUCUGCGGGAAUGAUACAUAUCUAAAUAAAUUGCUGUCAGAAUCUUUGAUGUAUGGAAAAUAUCUGGCUGAUUUAUAACCUGCUUUGCAAAAUCAGUAGUCAUUAUUUCUUUUUAAGCUAUUAACAUCAAUCAAUCAAUCUCCUUUACUGGCUUAAAAAAAGUGCAUUGUAUACAUGGAUCAGAACACAACACAGUUAAUGAAACUGGGAAUAUGGAGUGUCUUGGCCAAAUGAGGGUAGUAUUCCCAACCCCAAUGGGGAACAGGUUUUGUUGGCUGCACUGCAAAGGGUUUGAAAUUCAAUCUCUAGAAUUCUUCACUUGAUUGUCUGGAAUGCUUCCAGUUGUGGGAGCAUAAGUAGUGACUCAAGUUUUAGGCCACAGGUUCUGAUUUUGCUCUCAAUGCAAGUUAGCCAUUUGGAGUGGCGGGAUUCUGCCAGCAUGUGGAAAAUGAAAGAAGCCAGAUCGGACAUGAAAUGUAGGCAGAGCCAGAAUUUUAUAGUGGUGAGCCACGCUUUGGUUUCCAGCAGCCUUUGUCCAGUUUCCAGACACAUGGCUGCAAAGCUAUUUACAUGAGAAUGAAAUUCUGAAUUGAGGGGUGAGAUUCUAACCAUGCCAAGUUGUAUGUGCAGAAUAUGCAAACAAUCUAUGCUACAGUUAUUUAUUGCCUUGGUGAAUUUGUUCUUUAUUCCAGAUAUGAACUUUAUAAUCAAGCAGUUUUACUGCUUUGAGAGGAAAGAGACUAAGUAUAUCCCUAAAAGCAUGGGGAGAAGAGAUGAUGUGGGGGAAUCUGACUAUUCUUGGGCGCUAUUAUCCAGGCUGGUGACAGAGAUUGGUUUUUAUCAGGCACCUGCCAAGCCCCUGGCACUCUGUCAUGAUGCAUUGCAACUCCUGAGAAGGAGCAGCAGCAGCAGCAGCAGCAGCUAUUGCCUUCUGCAUUCUCUCUCUGAGUCUCUCACAAAGAGAAAGCAGGGUUGCUGACUAGAUUAUCUGUUAUCACUUCCAGCAUCCUGCCGAACCCCCCAAUUGACUGUCAGGAGCUCAAGCUCCCACUACCUUGCACUUGACUCACCCAAAGCCCUACUUUCGAGAUGCCUCUACUAUAGUUUUUUUGAAGUUAUGACUAAAUCAAGGCAGUGUGUGUUCAUCUUAGUUGUAAAGGUGAAUACAUUGCAAGUUGCAGAGCAACCAAGGACCAGUUGUUUUCUAGCUGAAGCUGUUCAAAUUUUGCUUGGAUGUCAUUUAUCUGCUACCUCAACAACACUAUGUUGUGUUACAGGGAGCCUACAAAUCUUCUACCAUUUGCUACAGUCCUGAGAACGGAACCUGGACAGAGCUGGAAGGAGAUGUAGCUGAGCCCCUGGCAGGUCCUGCUUGCUCCACUGUCAUACUACCUGCGUGUGUGCCGUACAAUAAAUAACAUACAGGAAGUACUGAAAUGAACACUGUUAAAUGAUGGGUGACUUAAAUAUUUUAAGGGACAGAAUUCCUGGUACUACAUACAACAAGACCCUAUCCCCAAUACCUGCAUUUAUGAUUUUAAAAAAGGACUAAGUAUAGUUCCCACCUCAGACAGACUGGUAUCUUGUCAAACAAGUAGCUUGAAAGCAUGGAACACUGCACAUGUUAACAGAUGACCAUUUCAGAGUGAUCCUCACUUUUCUCUGCUAUAAACCCUCAUAUCAAUUCUAAAUUUAAAGAGAAGAAUUCUAAACAUCCAAACACUGCCUGAACGAACAAAAUUACUAUUGUGCAUUGUAUUUUACCUGCAUGGGAUCUGUGUUGAAGUCAUGGUGAUGUUGCUCACGAUUAAUUCAAAACUGAGAUGCCCAAAUGCAUUGAACUGCAGAAUUGCUUCCCCAUUUUAACCCUAAUCUGUGGCUGCUGACAUGUUCUGCAAGUAACACAACAGAUCAUAAGAGAGAAUGCUUCUGUUCUGAACAGAUUGGCCCCUCAUAUAGUCUGUUCUGAAAUCCCCAUGCCUAAGUGUAGGGCGGGGAGUGGAAGUUUUUCAGAUGUAUCACAAUUGAGGUUUUAGGACUGGUGCCAAUCUUUGAUUUUAUUUGCACUAGUGUAAAUCCAGAGUAAUCCAUAGAACCUCAUUUUAUUAUCCUGUAUAUUAUUCUGUAUUAUUCUGAUUUAAACAUUCUGGCCUAUACAAGUAAUUCUUGUUUUUUUAAGAUUUAAGUUAUUCCUUAAAUUAAUUCAUAAAUUUCAGAUACAAAUUAACAAAUAUUUGAGUCAUUUUGACUAAUAGAUUUGUUAUUUUCCCCCUAUUUAACACCAAAGAACAAAUUCUUUCUUAAAAUGUGGAUUAUGUGGUAUCACAUAUCAUUGGCAAGUAGCUGUAUUUCCUUAAUCUGAUCUACACUGAAAUAUUUAUAAACUAGCUUUGUACCUGUGGUGAAAAGAAAUAUGGGCAUAACAGGUAUAAAGUUUAGUUAAGCUCAACUCAAUUCCAAUAGGCAGUGCAACUGAGGCAAUUUUGAGCCCAGAAUGGAAGGGGUGUUGAGGAUAAACAUUCAUUUGUGACCUUACAAGGAGAAAUGUAGGUGGGAGAGGUUUGGAGCAGAGAAGCAGUGCGCGCAGGAACAGUUAGUAUGCCUCCCAGUCUAUAAAUUACACUCUCUAGAAGCUGCUGAUUCUUUUAAAUUAAAAAGGGCCAUCAGGGUUUAGUCACACUAAUGUUUAACAUCAAGUUAGGCCCUAUAUGUUUUCUUCUACUUUAAUGCAGUGGUACCUCAGAACUCGAACGGCUCCGUUCUCGAACAUUUCGGCUCCCGAACGCCAACAAACCGGAAAUAAGUGCUCCGGUUUUGAACGUUCCUUGGAACACGAACAUCCAACACGGCUUCCACUGUGCAAAAACCUAGCUGUUGGCCAAUCAGAAGCCGCGCCUCAGAACUCAAACGUUUUGGAAGUCAAACAGUCUUCCGGAACGGAUUCCAUUUGAAUUCCGAGGUACCACUGUAUUUGUCAUAUUUGUGUAGCGUGCUAGACACAGCUAUUUCACAUUAGUGCUGUGCAAGGCUUUUGUAGAAUGGGACACUUUGUCCCUACCUAUCUCCAUCCAAGUCCCAUUGGGCCUCUUGCACAGAAAUAAAGAGUAUGGGCAUAAGAAUAUGAUUUGAUUCUUGCUACCAAUGGAUGGAAAGAAUUUUUCAAUUUUUUUGCCCUUCUUAGGACUCUUAUGUCAGAUCCUACAAGCUGCACCACCCCUUCAGCAGCCAGUUCACACACUAACCUAUAGUCUGUAUGAAAAAUAAAAUUGUCUGCUCAGAAAUACAAGACAAUAUAGAAUCAAAUCUAGUUUUACAAAAAAAACAAAACACCUUUAUGUUCAAAUCUCAGACGUGUAAGGGAACAACAAAGAGGCACAGGGUACAAGUAGGCAGAAGUCAUACAUCAUAGCUGACCAAAAGGAAAGGUAGGAAACUCAAACUAUAAGACUUAGGCUACUAAGAAAGUAAUAAAACGGAUAACAAUAAAUACUGGAUUUCUUAAUACUACGGCUACUGUUGUUUUGCUAAUGCUAAUUUCAUUGUUGUCACUUGCAGAAAACUAGCAGAGAUUCAGUCUCUUCAAAUGUUGCAAAUGAAUUGUUUAGGGAACUGUAUCUGAAAGAAAGAAAGGAAAAAUAGUGAAGUCCCUGUUACAGAGUUCCUGAAACUGGAGUGUUUGUCCUGGAAACUCAACCCAUUUUUCUUACGUAGUGCAAUCUCUGUUAGUUUUGUAUUUAUUUGUGUUGUUCCGAUCAAAAAAAAUUACUUGUAAAAUAAUACGUUGUGCAAUCAUAACUUGGGGGGGGGAGGGUUUUUAGAAAUCUAUAUGUAUAUAUAAAUAUAUGGAAAGGAAACCUGUUACCACUCCAAAUGAGAGAACAUUUUAUGGCGUUUAAAAAUACCAGGACUUGCCACUAUGUUGUCCCAUGCCACUGCUAAAAUGCCACUUUAAUGGGAAAGAUGGGGGAUUUCUUGUCCGUUUAAAAGUUCUUUUUUUAAAAAAAGGCAAAGAUAAUUAAAGCAUUUAUGAGGAAUAUAUGUAAAUCUUUCUAAUUUUUGGGAAGGCAUGACCAAGGAAACCAUACAAGUAACCAAUAAUGUAAAUUUUGUACAGUACUAGAAUGUGUAAAUGAAGCUUGCUUGUAGGGCGAGGGGACUUUAAAUAAAAACUUAUGUACUAAUGCA